AGGAGUUCGAGGAUGUGUUUCAAU
This 24-nucleotide non-coding RNA is filed under the name Arabidopsis thaliana (thale cress). The record is from RNAcentral. Lineage: Eukaryota; Viridiplantae; Streptophyta; Magnoliopsida; Brassicales; Brassicaceae.